This 161-nucleotide unclassified non-coding RNA is filed under the name soil metagenome. Its description in RNAcentral is "partial internal transcribed spacer 1". The record is from RNAcentral.
AAGAGACGUUGCCCUUCGGGGUAUACCUCCCACCCUUUGGUUAUUAUACCUUUGUUGCUUUGGCGGGCCCGUCCUCGGACCACCGGCUUCUGCUGGUCAGUGCCCGCCAGAGGACCUAAAACUCUGUUUGUUAAUAUUGUCUGAGUACUAUAUAAUAGUUA